Molecule: ribosomal RNA, 468 nt
Filed under: uncultured bacterium
Lineage: Bacteria
Description: partial 16S ribosomal RNA
Rfam family: Bacterial small subunit ribosomal RNA
Source: RNAcentral
GACGAACGCUGGCGGCGUGCUUAACACAUGCAAGUCGAACGGAAAGGCCCUGCUUUUGUGGGGUGCUCGAGUGGCGAACGGGUGAGUAACACGUGAGUAACCUGCCCUUGACUUUGGGAUAACUUCAGGAAACUGGGGCUCAUACCGGAUAGGAGCUCCUGCUGCAUGGUGGGGGUUGGAAAGUUUCGGCGGUUGGGGAUGGACUCGCGGCUUAUCCGCUUGUUGGUGGGGUAGUGGCUUACCAAGGCUUUGACGGGUAGCCGGCCUGGGAGGGUGACCGGCCACAAGGGGACUGAGAUACGGCCCAGACUCCUACGGGAGGCAGCAGUGGGGAAUAUUGCACAAUGGGCGGAAGCCUGAUGCAGCAACGCCGCGUGCGGGAUGACGGCCUUCGGGUUGUAAACCGCUUUCGCCUGUGACGAAGCGUGAGUGACGGUAAUGGGUAAAGAAGCACCGGCUAACUACGUG